GCCUGUCGCUUGGAGACGCAGUGACUCCAAACGGGCUCACACGGUUUUCUGAGAAACAUAAAGGGAAACCGAAUCCACCAAUAUAUAUAUAUAUUUUUUUGAGACGGCGUCUCGCUCUGUCACCCAGGCUGGAGUGCAGUGGCGUGAUCUCGGCUCACUGCAAACUCCGCCUCCCGGGUUGACGCCAUUCUUCUGCCUCAGCCUCCCGAGUAGCUGGGACUACAGGCGCCCGCCGCCACGCCCGGCUAAUUUUUUUGUAUUUUAGUAGAGACGGGGAGUCACCGUGUUGCCCAGGCUGGUCGCGAACUCCUGAGCUCAGGCAAUCCGCCCGCCUUGGCCUCCCAAAGUGCUAGGAUCACAGGCGUGAGCCACCGCGCCCGGCCCACCAAUACUCAAUUGGUUUGACUUCAGUUGAGGAAACCAGAAAAAAUUUAAAUAUAUUUAUGGAAAGAAGCUAUUGGGAGAGUGGCUGAGUACUGAGUCUAUCACUACUUGGAUGAUACAGCUUCUGUCUUCAAGAUAAGCAGAAUUGUUCAGAAUCCACUGGAAUCCAAAUUCAACUUGGGCCUCAAUUUCUGCAGAUGGACACCUCUGGACUCCAAAAAAUCCAAGGACAUAAAAAACUUAAGCAGCCUUUAUUACAUUUAGUUCAACAAGUUUAAAGUGUAGGUCACUUUCCACUUUUGUUUACUUGAUGCUUAAUUUUACUGGAAUCGUUAAAAGAAAUAUACUUGCAAUUUUUUUAAAAAAGGUAUCUAUUUCUGAGGCCAGUCUUGGUGUCUAGAGUUUUCAAGGUAGUGUUAAUGACAGCAUGUAGAACCUCAAAGCUCAUUUGUCGGUGAAAAUGCUGUGCUAAGCCUGGCAGAAGUCUGCUCCCACACUCAGAAUCACCAUAAAUGUGCAACAUCACCAGAAAGUGCUGGUGUGCUGGGGACUGGGCAUUGGAGUUGGGGAUGGCUGUCCCAGCCUCUGUACACGACACCUGGCCUGGUGGAUCCAGAGUUAGUCUUGCUGCCCAGCUGCCACUCCAGCCACUCCCUAGACACAAUUUUAAAUUGUCAGAUAUACCUUUAGUAAAGCUGAAAAAACAAUUCCAGAGGAAUUAAAAGAAGGAAAAUUUUCUAUUUAUUAAAUAGCAUAAAGAUACCAAAA
Molecule: long non-coding RNA, 1152 nt
Filed under: Pan troglodytes (chimpanzee)
Lineage: Eukaryota; Metazoa; Chordata; Mammalia; Primates; Hominidae
Description: lincRNA
Source: RNAcentral